Molecule: transfer RNA, 61 nt
Filed under: Glyptonotus cf. antarcticus FK-2009
Lineage: Eukaryota; Metazoa; Arthropoda; Malacostraca; Isopoda; Chaetiliidae
Description: tRNA-Lys
Source: RNAcentral
UACCUGGUGGCUGAUUUAGGUGUGAGUCUUUUAAACUCUUUAUGGCUUAAGCCUCGGGUGA